UAAACUUAAAACUGUAAGUCGCUUUGGACAAAAGCGUCUGCCAAAUGUAAUGUA
This is a regulatory RNA element of Astyanax mexicanus (Mexican tetra), 54 nucleotides long. It matches the Rfam family "UnaL2 LINE 3' element". From Rfam's summary of the family: The eel long interspersed element (LINE) UnaL2 and its partner short interspersed element (SINE) share a conserved 3' tail containing a stem-loop that is critical for their retrotransposition. Presumably, the first step of retrotransposition is the recognition of their 3' tails by UnaL2-encoded reverse transcriptase. The solution structure of a 17-nucleotide RNA derived from the 3' tail of UnaL2 was determined by NMR. The record is from Rfam. NCBI's taxonomy places the organism in Eukaryota, Metazoa, Chordata, Actinopteri, Characiformes, Acestrorhamphidae.